GACGAACCGUGCGAACGUUGUUCGGAUUCACUGGGCUUAAAGGGCGCGUAGGCGGGCCAUCAAGUCAGGGGUGAAAUCUUUCGGCUCAACCGGAAAAGUGCCUUUGAUACUGGUGGUCUCGAGGGAGGUAGGGGCAUGCGGAACUUCCGGUGGAGCGGUGAAAUGCGUAGAUAUCGGGAGGAACACCAGAGGCGAAGGCGGCGACCUGGAAGGUGACUGACACUGAGCAGCGAAAGCGUGGGUAGCAAACAGG
RNAcentral lists this ribosomal RNA (253 nucleotides) under uncultured bacterium. Its description in RNAcentral is "partial 16S ribosomal RNA". It matches the Rfam family "Bacterial small subunit ribosomal RNA", at positions 524 to 776 of the family's 1533-position model. The record is from RNAcentral.